UAUGGGGUUUCUAUGGGGUACCUGUGGGGUUAUUAUGGGAUGUCCGUGGGGUCAUUAUGGGGUCAUUAUGGGGUUAUUAUGGGGUUAUUAUGGGAUGUCCAUGGGGUUAUUAUGGGAUAUAUCUAUGGGGUUAUUAUGGGAUGUCUAUAGGAUUUCUAUGGGAUAUCUAUGGGAUUAUUAUGGGCUAUCCAUGGCGUUAUUAUGGGAUGUCCAUGGGGUUUCCAUGGGGUUAUUAUGGGAUGUCUAUGGGCUAUUAUGGGAUAUACCUAUGGGGUUAUUAUGGGAUGUCCAUGGGGUUUCUAUGGGGCUAUUACGGGAUGUCUGUGGGAUAUAUCCAUGGGGUUAUUAUGGGAUACCUAUGGGGUUAUUAUGGGAUACCUAUGGGACAUACCUAUGGGGUUAUUAUGGGAUGUCCAUGGGACAUACCUAUGGGGUUAUUAUGGGAUGUCCACGGGCUAUUAUGGGACAUAUCCAUGGGGUUAUUAUGGGAUGUCCACCGGUUAUUAUGGGACAUACCUAUGGGGUUAUUAUGGGAUGUCCACGGGCUAUUAUGGGCUAUCUAUGGGGUUAUUAUGGGAUGUCCAUGGGGUUUCUAUGGGGUUAUUAUGGGAUGUCCAUGGGAUAUAUCCGCGGGGUUAUUAUGGGAUGUCCAUGGGCAAUACCUAUGGGGUUACUAUGGGAUGUCCAUGGGCUAUUAUGGGAUAUCUAUGGGGUUAUUAUGGGAUAUAUCCGUGGGGUUAUUAUGGGAUGUCCAGGGGGUUAUUAUGGGAUAUCUAUGGGAUAUCUAUGGGAUUAUUAUGGGAUAUCUACGGGGUUAUUAUGGGAUAUCUAUAGGAUAUAUCCAUGGGGUUAUUAUGGGAUGUCCAUGGGAUGUCUAUGGGCUAUCUAUGCGGUUAUGAUGGGAUAUCUGUGGGACAUACCUAUGGGGUUAUUAUGGGAUGUCCAUGGGCUAUUAUGGGAUGGAUACACCUAUGGGGUUAUUAUGGGAUGUCCAUGGGGUCUCUAUGGGGUACCUGUGGGGUCAUUAUGGGAUGCCCAUGGGCUAUUAUGGGCUAUACCUAUGGGGUUAUUAUGGGAUGUCCAUGGGUUAUUAUGGGCUAUCUAUGGGGUUCCUAUGCGAUGUCCAUGGGCUAUCCAUGGGGUUAUUAUGGGAUGUCCAUGGGCUAUUAUGGGCUAUACCUAUGGGGUUACUAUGGGAUGCCCACGGGCUAUCUAUGGGGUUAUUAUGGGAUACCUAUGGGCGAUACCUAUGGGGUUACUAUGGGAUGCCCACGGGCUAUUAUGGGAUGCCGCAGCUGCGCGCCGCCCUGUCGCUGUCGGUGCUGAGCGCCGUGCUGGCCGUCCUGCAGCUGCUUGUGCACGGGGUGCUGCUGCCCCACGGCUGCGGGCGCUGCUGGGCCAUGGGGCCGCACAUGGAGGGGGCGGUGCUCGGCGCUCAGGCUCUCCUCUCAUUGGCUACCGCCACGGAAGUGGGGCUGGCGGUGGCCGGGGCCGUAGCGGCCGGAAGGGCUCUGGUGGGGCGGGGCCAAGCGGUGAGUAGGGGGCGUGGCCAAACGGAGGGGGCGGGGCUAAGUGAGAGGCGCGAAGCUAUUGGACAGAGGGCGGGGCCAUGCAAAUAGAGGGGGAGUGGAGGGGGCGGGGCGUUGGGGGUGGAGUUAUGCUAAUGUGGGUGGGGCAUUGUGAGAGAAGCGCUGCUAUUGGUCUGGGGGCGGGGCAAUGUGAGAGGUGCCUUUCUAUUGGUCAAGGGGCGGGGCUCAGGCCUACAGGGGCGGGGCUAAGCGUGAGGCGCGUUGCUAUUGGUCAGGAGGCUGAGCUCAGGCAAAUGGGGCGGGGCUUUAUGAGAGGCGUUGCUAUUGGACAGAGGGCG
Molecule: long non-coding RNA, 1867 nt
Filed under: Phasianus colchicus (ring-necked pheasant)
Lineage: Eukaryota; Metazoa; Chordata; Aves; Galliformes; Phasianidae
Description: lncRNA (ENSPCLG00000017879.1)
Source: RNAcentral